This 258-nucleotide long non-coding RNA is filed under the name Pongo abelii (Sumatran orangutan). Its description in RNAcentral is "lincRNA". The record is from RNAcentral. Lineage: Eukaryota; Metazoa; Chordata; Mammalia; Primates; Hominidae.
GAGCUCUUUCUGAGAUGAAGAGAACUCUCAAUGUCAAGAUUUCAACAAGAAGAGAAUGGAAUACACGAUACGGACAUCCAUAAAAAUUCUUCAGAGGGUGUUUUACUACUGAGCUGCAAAGAUGACAAGAGCACCUCAAAGGCAGCAGCCUCAAGAAGCAGCCAUGGCCCCAGAGUUGUCCCACGGAUGCAGAAAACUUAAUGGAGGAGGCUGAGGUCAGAAUGGGAAGAGUUUUUAAAAAGUAAAAAGGGGAGCUAA